This is a long non-coding RNA of Magnolia sinica, 1073 nucleotides long. RefSeq lists it as uncharacterized. Lineage: Eukaryota; Viridiplantae; Streptophyta; Magnoliopsida; Magnoliales; Magnoliaceae. The transcript has 3 exons. The record is from RefSeq and is a predicted model, not a curated record.
GUUGUAAAGAUCUUUCAGAAUGAUGACAGUGAGAACUCGGAUUUUCCUAAACCUUGGAAUCAAGCUGAUUAUGAGGGAUUGUUGUUUGCUCUUGCAUGGAAGGUCUGUUUUUCACAUUUCCUUUCAAAGAAAUAUAUUGUUGGUUUGAGUUCUCUAACCAUCUUCCACUAUUCUAUAGGGUGUGGGAAAUAGGGAAGCUGUAUGGCAGCGUAGAUACUUUUAUCUGGUCAGGCCAUUUCUUUAUAUACUAGAAAGCCCUGCUUCCUAAAUUUACAAACAGUGUCUUAGGUUCUUAGAUAGUACUCUUUUGUUUUGUUCAUAUCUAGCAUUUUGUAUCUGACUGUCCUUUCAAAAUUCCAGAUUUUAAGCUGUAAAUGAGUGCACCAGAAAAUAGUUAUAAAAACUGUUAAAUCUAUCACGUCUCUCUUCUCCAACCUACGAGGAAAACAAGUAUAUCAGGUUCCUCCGGAGCAUGCUGGCAAUGUGGAAAAUGUGUUAGCAGUUUGUGAUGUUGGGCAAUCAAACAUCAAGGUCUGGUUCACGUGGUUGUUAUUUUAAUAUAGUAAUUUAAUCUUUAUUUAGAAAAUUGAAAACUGUUGCCUGGAUGGCAUGGUUCUUCUUUCAAUUUGCUUUAUACUUCAUGUGUAGGUCAUUGAACUUGUUAAUGCAUUGAUUUUGCGAUGUGAUAAUGAUAAUUCGUGGCGAACUUGGUAGAACUGCCUUCAAGGGGCUAUCUAUCGUGCAUCGGAAUCAUAUGAAGAGUUUAAGCACGUGCUUCUUGCAUUUAUAUUUGACAAAGGAUUAGACAUCUCCUGUGGUAAACGAGUAUUAAUUUGCUAGAGAACAGAGGAGGAGGGCAUUUUGAGGAAAAGCAGGUCCUAUUAAUUUUCAGGGAUGUAUGCAAUGCGGUAUUUGCAAUGCAUUCCGAUUCACCAUUGAUUGCUCAUAGGUAAGGCCCUUUGAUCCUUGAGCAUUACUCUUUAACCUCUCUUUUUGUUGAUCUUCUUUCUAUUAAUUUGUGUUGAUUUAUGAUUUGAGAAGAACCUUGUUUGGUUCUGGUUAUGGUGGUUAUC